AUUGAACGCUGGCGGCAGGCCUAACACAUGCAAGUCGAGCGGUAGAGAGAAGCUUGCUUCUCUUGAGAGCGGCGGACGGGUGAGUAAUGCCUAGGAAUCUGCCUGGUAGUGGGGGAUAACGUUCGGAAACGGACGCUAAUACCGCAUACGUCCUACGGGAGAAAGCGGGGGACCUUCGGGCCUUGCGCUAUCAGAUGAGCCUAGGUCGGAUUAGCUAGUUGGUGGGGUAAUGGCUCACCAAGGCGACGAUCCGUAACUGGUCUGAGAGGAUGAUCAGUCACACUGGAACUGAGACACGGUCCAGACUCCUACGGGAGGCAGCAGUGGGGAAUAUUGGACAAUGGGCGAAAGCCUGAUCCAGCCAUGCCGCGUGUGUGAAGAAGGUCUUCGGAUUGUAAAGCACUUUAAGUUGGGAGGAAGGGCAGUAAGUUAAUACCUUGCUGUUUUGACGUUACCGACAGAAUAAGCACCGGCUAACUCUGUG
This 484-nucleotide ribosomal RNA is filed under the name uncultured bacterium. Its description in RNAcentral is "partial 16S ribosomal RNA". It matches the Rfam family "Bacterial small subunit ribosomal RNA", at positions 30 to 507 of the family's 1533-position model. The record is from RNAcentral.